UAGCGGCGAGUGAGCGGCAAGAGCUCAGAUUUGAAAUCUCACCUAGUGUGCGAGUUGUAAAUUGCAGGUUGGAGUCUCGGGUUAGACGUGUGUGCAAGUCCCUUGGAACAGGGUGCCACUGAGGGUGAGAGCCCCGUAUCGUGCAUGUCGACACCUGUGAGGCCCUUCUGACGAGUCGAGUUGUUUGGGAAUGCAGCUCUAAGUGGGUGGUAAAUUCCAUCUAAGGCUAAAUAUUGGCGAGAGACCGAUAGCGAACAAGUACUGUGAAGGAAAGAUGAAAAGCACUUUGAAAAGAGAGUGAAACAGCACGUGAAAUUGUUGAAAGGGAAGGGUAUUGGGCUCGACAUGGGAUUUACGCAUCGUUGCCUCUCGUGGGCGGCGCUCUGGGUUUUUCCUGGGCCAGCAUCGGUUUUCGUUGCAGGAUAAGGACAAUUGGAAUGUGGCUCCUCGGAGUGUUAUAGCCUUUUGUAGAUGCUGCGUAUGGGGACCGAGGGCUGCGGCGGACUCGUUUCGUCUCGGAUGCUGGCACAACGGCGCAAUACCGCCCGUCUUGAAACACGGACAAA
Molecule: ribosomal RNA, 566 nt
Filed under: Pichia kluyveri
Lineage: Eukaryota; Fungi; Ascomycota; Pichiomycetes; Pichiales; Pichiaceae
Description: partial large subunit ribosomal RNA
Rfam family: Eukaryotic large subunit ribosomal RNA
Source: RNAcentral